This 273-nucleotide ribosomal RNA is filed under the name uncultured bacterium. RNAcentral describes it as "partial 16S ribosomal RNA". It matches the Rfam family "Bacterial small subunit ribosomal RNA", at positions 1228 to 1500 of the family's 1533-position model. The record is from RNAcentral.
CAAUGGCGUAAACAAAGGGAGGCGAAGCCGCGAGGUGGAGCAAAUCCCAAAAAUAACGUCUCAGUUCGGAUUGUAGUCUGCAACUCGACUACAUGAAGCUGGAAUCGCUAGUAAUCGCGAAUCAGAAUGUCGCGGUGAAUACGUUCCCGGGUCUUGUACACACCGCCCGUCACACCAUGGGAGUCAGCAACGCCCGAAGCCGGUGACCCAACCGAAAGGAGGGAGCCGUCGAAGGUGGGGCCGAUAACUAGGGUGAAGUCGUAACAAGGUAUC